Long non-coding RNA from Oreochromis aureus, 2107 nucleotides. The record is from Ensembl. NCBI's taxonomy places the organism in Eukaryota, Metazoa, Chordata, Actinopteri, Cichliformes, Cichlidae.
GAGAUUUCCGCGGAAGAGCCUGUUAUGGAGGAUCACUAACAGGAGCGUGGGAAGACUCCAGAAUCCACUCUGGCUGGAAUCCGGUGGAUACAGCAGUGUUACAGAACAGUUCUCCACAGUCGCUCUCCACAUGGGUCAGUGGGACCACGCAGCACUCUGCUAAUGUGUGGACUCUGACCAGCAACAUCCAGCAAGACCCAGACAGCGUUUUCUAUCUCCCAGCUGGAGUUUUUUGUUUGUCUGUGACUGGAGAGUCACAGAUUUUUGUUGAGGCUGGAGGAACAGCCUCACACUCGCAGAGGUUAAUACACGCUACUGAUCCCUGAUGGGAGAAUCAUCACCUCUGCCAACAAAGAAGCCUGGUGGAUGUUUGUUUACAGUCUGAUGAUGGGACAUCAUGCUCUGCAUCUUCAAAGUUUGUCUCUUGAUUAUUAUUCAUACACAGUAAUGUGAAGUAUGCUUAUAUCUAGUAUAACGGGACCAACGUGGUGCUCUUCAUUUAUGGAGGCUGUUGAGUCUGAAUGUUGGAUGUUGUGUAUCUCUUGUUCUCUGGGCUUUGUUGUCCUCAGUCUUUUUGCAGGAUCAGAAAACAAAACCAGGAUGACCGUAAAUGUUUCUUCUCCAAUUGGAUGAUGAUAAGACUGUGACACGGGAUGCCACCUUUAGUCUUGUGAUGAAGCAAAGCUCAGGAAAAAGUGUGAUUAAAUGGUACCCACAUGUGUGCUGCUGAGAAGGAUGUACAGGGGCACCUGCAGCCAAAUCCAAGCCUCCUCAGGUUAGUUGUAGUUGCAGAAUGCUUUAGGACUGAGACAGCUGAGGCAUCAAAUGUUUGAUUAAAUGGAUGAAAAAGAGAAGUUUCUUCCCUGUAAUUAUCACUUUUUAAAAUCUUUAGCAACUUCAAGUCUGUCAGCGUGCUGAGGUCACAGAAACAAGAAAAGCAGCUUCAGACUUCAGAGUGUUGUUUACAGUUUUCUGUCAUCAUGAUCUCCCCUGAAGUUUAUCACUAUUAGGCAAGCAAGCAGAGCGGCCGUUUGUGCUCACAGAUGGUGACGGUGUGGAGAGACGGUGGUGUUUCCUCAGAAGAACUAGCAGAGUCACAACGGGCACGAGUCCAUCUCACCACCUUGACUUGCUGACUGAUGCUCGUCUGCACUGCACAGAGGAAAUCAACUGACCGAGGAGUGUUUCUGAGUGAGGGAGAGAGGAGUCAUCAUCCAGGUAAAGUGACGUGGAUCAGUGGAUACACUUGUCUCCGCUUUAAAGGAGACACUCUUAGAGAGAGACGAUCCGAGUCAUCCUUAAAUAUGGGCAGGAUAUCAGUCUUGGACUGUCUAACCUGCCGGAGCAGUACUGAAUGAUCACCACACAUGAGCAUGUUCCUGCAACAUUCAGCAUCUGAUCUGCCAUCUGUGUGCUUCUGCUUUUGUGUCAAAUGUCAAACAGCUGGAGAGGAAACUACACCAGUGUACUGGGAUGUUUCACCAACACGUGCCAGACGCUGUUCCUUCAUGGUGACAUCACCAGAGACAGUCCCGCCCACCUCAGGACCUCUCCAUUGAUCAUGAUGAUUAUAAUAAUGACAGCGAGCGGAACUAAGACUGUAAAAAUCCAUAACCAGAAUGUUUAGAUGCUUUCUAAUUAUUAAUGAAUACUGAGAGUCUCUUUCUGUGUUUUGUCUGGGUUUUUUUUUGUUUUUUUUUUACCUCAUUUGUUACUAACAAAGUUCACCAAACUCACACAGUUUACAUUCUGUAUGCUUCCAUCUUUACCAGCCACACUCUUAACUGCAAUUAAGAAAAUAAUCCUUAGAAAUCUUCGUUUUUCUCUUUUGUAAUUGAUGAUAAUUCAGUGAAUAUACUGCGCUGCUUCCUUUUGUUUCAUCUCACAUUGCUUUAAGUUUUUCAGUGUCCAGUUAUUUUUUACUGCUGUUUGAAUUCUCUGUAUGUUUGACCCUGUAGACUGUUUAAUGGACUGCUUGUCUUCCUGUUUGUAACCGCCGCCUGUUUUUGACUAAAGGUUUGGAUUUCUGACUUUAACACAGUCUCUGCGUGUCCUCCCUUUGUGUCCUCUUCCUCUGUGAAUGUGUUGCAUGUGUCACAGAUUCAUU